CUCUGUGAUUGUUCUCCCUGAAAUUGAUCACAUCCAUUUCCAUAGCUGCAGUUAGUAUCUUUACGCCAUUAACUCUCAAGUUAAUUUUAUCUCAGUCUCUGUUUAAAGCUCUGGGUUUUUAUCAGCAUAACCUGUUGUCUAUCUCAUGAUCAUGCAGGUAAGUUCAAAAUUCAAUUAAUUCAUUCUGCCCUCCCAUCCUCCCUAAACAUGCUCCUACCGCUGUUUUCUGUCUUAGGCAGAGCUCUAGCCAAAAAUCUGGGCACUUCUUUAACACUCCUCUCUCCCUCCCCUCUGGUUCCCAGUCACAGAAUAGACCCUCUGUGCUGAAGUCUCCUCACUGUGUCAGGUCUGUCCAGUCUCUCCAUCUUCCUCCCUCCACCCCCACCCCCCAUCCGUGCCCCCGCCACUGCCUUCCUCCGGACACCAUCACCCCUUGCCUGCAUUGCUCCUUGGGCCUUCAGCCUUACCCAUCUCCACUCCAUUCUCCACACUGUAACUGGAGCGAUUUUUAUAAAAAGGCAAGUCUGAUCCUGCCGCUCCACCGGUUAAAACUCUUCCAGUAGCACUGCUUAACUCCCUGCAUGGUUUACAAGCCCUAUGUGGUCUUGCCCCUGCUGAACUUCCCCUCUUCCCUCAGCCUGUGCCCCUCCCCCAUGCUCUGGGUUCCAGCCAACCUGUUCUAUUUCAGUUCCUCUGAUGGGUCACGCUACUGUCUCUUACCUGUGUAUCCCGGGGUGUUUUCCACCAUCUUUUUAUCCAACUCCUGUUCAUCCUCACUAUCAAAAACUCCAGAGAGGUAGUUGGUUGGUAUGAUUAUAUUGCCAGAGGUACUCUUAUAGCUCUGUAGAGGUUAAUUUUUAAAAAGUUGAAUGGGAUGAACUUGUAGCUCCUUUGCUUCCUGCACUCAGUUGCUGCUGUCAAGCUUCAAUUCCAUGGUCUAUCAUGUUUAUCCUCCUCAAAUACAACUUUAGUGGCCUUGCUCCUCAUCUUCUAUGUGUGUCAAAGCCCCAGGUAUGUCUCCCCUUUCUGCCUACUCUGUGUCGGUACCCAGACUAUUGAAUAUGGCUUAAGAAAAGCACAAAGCUAUGGUGACUGAUCUUACUUUGAAAUUAAGAAUCACAUCUCAAGUGGGCCCUCGGUAUUCCUUGGCAUCAGUAUUUUCUGGUAUUCCUUCUGUAUUUCCUUAGUUUAGCCAGUUUACUCUCCUGCUAAGAUGACUAGUUCCUCUUCGUUCUCCUCAGAUCUCCAGCACCACCUCUUCCAGUCCACCCUCCCUCACCAGCAGCUGACGACCUGGAAUCAGGAUUUCAUUGAGAAAAUAGAAGUAGUCGGAAGAGAACAGCCACCAAAUGUAGCAUUUGUUGAUGAGUGAAAGAAUACGAUAUCCCAGAACUUGAUUUACUCCCAUAUGCAAAUAGCAUUGGCAACUUAGAUUCCAAAACUGUAUAUAAAUCUAUUUUUGGCCAUUUUAGAUUAUGCUUUUCACUACCACUGUCCUUUACGUUACUAUAACCAAGAGUUGUUAAUAUGUUUGUGCCGUAUCCAAAUAAAAAUUAGGUAUUUUUAAGAAGAUGAUCAUUAACAGGAACAGUUUAUAAAAUAAGCACUUAAGUCAUUCAACACAGGAAAUUAAGAGAAGAAAUCCUUUGGAACUAUGUUUGAUUAUGCUGUCCACCCACAAUUGUUCUUAUAUAAGUUCUAGAGGAAGGAAAAAAGAUGUGAAUGACUUACAAAUGAAGACAAAGUCUUAAACUUUGUGGAAAGUGGAGGGAAAAUGUUGAGAACAAGUCCUGUGAUGGUUUCGCCCUCACACUUUGGGAAAAUUAGAUAACAGAAUUUAGUUAUAAAUAUGUUGGCUUUCUCUUUUUUUUUUUUUUAAUAUCUUUUUAUUUAUUUUGAGAGAGAGAGAGAGAGAGAGAGAG
Long non-coding RNA from Felis catus (domestic cat), 1922 nucleotides. RefSeq lists it as uncharacterized. The record is from RefSeq and is a predicted model, not a curated record. Lineage: Eukaryota; Metazoa; Chordata; Mammalia; Carnivora; Felidae. The transcript is spliced from 3 exons.